This is a non-coding RNA of Acanthosepion pharaonis, 111 nucleotides long. Lineage: Eukaryota; Metazoa; Mollusca; Cephalopoda; Sepiida; Sepiidae. The record is from the annotation of a GenBank genome assembly.
UGGUCACAUUACGUUGAAACAACGGUUCUUGAACGAUCACCGAAGUUAAGCAACGUCAAGCCUGGUCAGUACCUGGAUGGAUCACUUCUUGGGAAUACCAAGUGCUGUAAG